CUACGGGGUGCAGCAGUGGGGAAUAUUGCACAAUGGGCGCAAGCCUGAUGCAGCCAUGCCGCGUGUAUGAAGAAGGCCUUCGGGUUGUAAAGUACUUUCAGCGGGGAGGAAGGGAGUAAAGUUAAUACCUUUGCUCAUUGACGUUACCCGCAGAAGAAGCACCGGCUAACUCCGUGCCAGCAGCCGCGGUAAUACGGAGGGUACAAGCGUUGAUCGGAAUUACUGGGCGUAAAGCGCACGCAGGCGGUUUGUUAAGUCAGAUGUGAAAUCCCCGGGCUCAACCUGGGAACUGCAUCUGAUACUGGCAAGCUUGAGUCUCGUAGAGGGGGGUAGAAUUCCAGGUGUAGCGGUGAAAUGCGUAGAGAUCUGGAGGAAUACCGGUGGCGAAGGCGGCCCCCUGGACGAAGAUUGACGCUCAGGUGCGGAAGCGUGGGGAGCAUACAGGAUUAGAUACCCUUGUAGUC
This 464-nucleotide ribosomal RNA is filed under the name uncultured bacterium. RNAcentral's name for it is "partial 16S ribosomal RNA". It matches the Rfam family "Bacterial small subunit ribosomal RNA", at positions 339 to 795 of the family's 1533-position model. The record is from RNAcentral.